UAGAAUAUAGCUAAAUAGAAAAGCAUCUCACUUACACCGAGAAGGCAUUCGUGCAAAUCGAAUUAUUCUAA
RNAcentral lists this transfer RNA (71 nucleotides) under Ophisurus macrorhynchos. RNAcentral describes it as "tRNA-Val". It matches the Rfam family "tRNA". From Rfam's summary of the family: Transfer RNA (tRNA) molecules are approximately 80 nucleotides in length. Their secondary structure includes four short double-helical elements and three loops (D, anti-codon, and T loops). Further hydrogen bonds mediate the characteristic L-shaped molecular structure. tRNAs have two regions of fundamental functional importance: the anti-codon, which is responsible for specific mRNA codon recognition, and the 3' end, to which the tRNAs corresponding amino acid is attached (by aminoacyl-tRNA synthetases). tRNAs cope with the degeneracy of the genetic code in two manners: having more than one tRNA (with a specific anti-codon) for a particular amino acid; and 'wobble' base-pairing, i.e. permitting non-standard base-pairing at the 3rd anti-codon position. RNAcentral also lists the same sequence under 2 other names. The record is from RNAcentral. Lineage: Eukaryota; Metazoa; Chordata; Actinopteri; Anguilliformes; Ophichthidae.